RNAcentral lists this long non-coding RNA (1686 nucleotides) under Marmota monax (woodchuck). Lineage: Eukaryota; Metazoa; Chordata; Mammalia; Rodentia; Sciuridae. The record is from RNAcentral.
AGUGAGCAAAGCCCAGAGAGUAGCUGUUCUCUCAGUCUGGGUCCUGGAGUGAGGAUGAAGAGAGCCCCAGAUGACCUGCAGAGGAAAUGUAUCAAGAAAAAAAAUGAACGUGUCAUCUCUCCUGACGACACCAGGCACAGUAUGUAACCACAAUCCAGCUCUUCAGAGACAUUCCCAGCAGCCACAGCAGCCACCUCAAGUUGACCAAAACCACUCCGCAGUCUCCGGUGUUCUCAGUCCCAGCAUUUUACUGGACUAUUGCUCCUCUUUGGGCCUAGGUGUCGAAAAAAUAGAACUUUAAAGGCUGCUUUUUGUGUUCUUAGAGGGGCAAGUUUUCUAGGGUAAAGAGGCAUGGGUGUUCUUUGAAGUUAGCUGCAGCAUAACUGUCUGCAUUUGGGACUGGCAGCCUCACCUCCCGUUUCAGAUGAGGUCCUACCAGCAGCAGCCAAGAACGUGCGCUGAGAAGACUUUGUUCUCUGUCUCCACCAGGUCUCUCUAGCGUCCCCUUCCCUGGCCUGCUAUGGUCACUUGUGCAAAGCAGCUGGAGAGACUGUGCCUUGUGAAGCUCGUUCAUUGAUGUUCCGCAGGUUCUCUGUGUACAUCUGCAGUUGACUUUACCUCUUGUCUGAUGGCUGGGUUGUGGGCUAUGCAGGCAAACUCUCAGCAACUGGACUUUGAAAGCGAAGUGGACAAGCUGGCAUCGCACUGCCACAUGAGACUGAACUACAUAUUUGGAAUUGGGAGAAAGGUUGCCUGGUUCCUCAUCCCUUUAACCUCACUUACUUCUCUUGAAUGGCAGCUGGGUCUUGAUACCACAGAGGAUGACUGUUGCUGCAGAAGCUGCCACUCCCACCUUCCUUCCUCUCCCACCGUUCCCUGAAACAGAAGGGUAGGAGGGAAGAAAGCAGUUUGACACACCCUAAGCCCAGAGGGUGGUUUUCAAGGACUGGUACCUGGCUCCACAGCAACUAUAGCACCUGGGAACUUAUUAGAAAUGUGCAUUCAUGGACCCUGGCACCAAUUCCUAAACAGACUCUUGGGUUUUGGUCUGGCAGUCUCUGUGUUGAUGAGUCAUCCAGGUGAUUCUUAUACUGAAGUGUGAGAGCUGCUGGCUUGUGGUCUGACCUCAGGAGGUAGGUAGCCUGCCUUCAAGGGCAUCCAUCCUGGUAAAAUAUCAUUAGCUCCCCUAUCUUCUUUGCUUUAGCAAGAGAUAUCCACUUGUAGUAAGGUGCAGAAUAUCUUGAAAUCCCAGUUAUCUCCUGGCCUACUGGGUGCUUUGUAUUAGUUGCAAGUCACAAGUGCCAUUUGGGUGGUGGCAGCACCCAGGAGACACAGGCAUGACAGCUAUUAGUGAAGUCCUUUGUGUGGACAGCAGCAUCUCCAGCAUCUCAUGAUAAAAGACCACAUAUUGCACCUCUUUCUGACAGAGGCCAACAUGCACUUCCUCAUGGCCUUGAACUCUUUGGCUCUACAUGAGUUUAGAAACAGUUUGAGCAGUGGUUUCACUGUAGUUUAUGAAAUGUCUAUUUUGUAUGUCCAUCAAGAUACUUAGUAUCUGGGUGAAAUCCUCAGCACCACAAGAAAGUAACAACAACCACAAUAACAAAAACCCUUAAUAUCUGAAAGGUGAGCUCAUCUCUUGCAAGUUUCAAUUUAUUAGAUGUCAUUUUGAUAAAAUGUAGAAAG